UGCCAUCCUCGAAAAGGCUUUUCGCAACCUGGUAAACCUAGAAAAGAAAGAGGAAAAUGUGAGAAAUGGGGCUCACAGUUCGUCCCCUCCUGAUCUACGUCCCGAAACUGCUUUUUGCAUUUGCGCCUCUAAGCUCCCUAUCACCACAGAACUCAGUUGCGCAUCAAGGCCCAACCCCAAGAGAAGGAGAACACAUUGAGACAGCAUUGGACUCUGAAGGAGUCCUGAAAAUCAAUAGUGCCUCUGAGGGCGCCACACCUUCAGCAGUGCUUGGGAGAGCAAGCAGAAAGACAGAACUCCUCCUUCCACCGUAGAGAAGACAGACAGAGAGCUCUAGACAACUGCACACUUCCGGUUCUGAUCAGAAAUUUCCACAUGCAGGUUAAGAAUGGUGGGGAAACAUGGGGGAACUGUCAAUAAAUCAGGGCAGGUUUGCAGAUGCUUCUGCGUUGCUCUACAUUGCGCUUUUGACUAUGAUGAUCUACCGAGGGACGUUCAGUGCAAGAUCCUGCUUCCGCUCUGGUUGCCUGAAUAGAAAUGGGUGAUUUUUGUUUUAUAUAAAUGAUUUUUAUAAAU
Molecule: long non-coding RNA, 576 nt
Organism: Podarcis muralis (Common wall lizard)
Lineage: Eukaryota; Metazoa; Chordata; Lepidosauria; Squamata; Lacertidae
Source: RefSeq, a predicted model, not a curated record